Molecule: ribosomal RNA, 483 nt
Filed under: uncultured bacterium
Lineage: Bacteria
Description: partial 16S ribosomal RNA
Rfam family: Bacterial small subunit ribosomal RNA
Source: RNAcentral
AUUGAACGCUGGCGGCAGGCCUAACACAUGCAAGUCGAGCGGAUGAAGGGAGCUUGCUCCUGGAUUCAGCGGCGGACGGGUGAGUAAUGCCUAGGAAUCUGCCUGGCAGUGGGGGAUAACGUCUGGAAACGGGCGCUAAUACCGCAUACGUCCUGAGGGAGAAAGUGGGGGAUCUUCGGACCUCACGCUAUCAGAUGAGCCUAGCUCGGAGUAGCUAGUUGGUGGGGUAAAGGCCUACCAAGGCGACGAUCCGUAACUGGUCUGAGAGGAUGAUCAGUCACACUGGAACUGAGACACGGUCCAGACUCCUACGGGAGGCAGCAGUGGGGAAUAGUGGACAGUGGGCGAAAGCCUGAUCCAGCCAUGCCACGUGUGUGAAGAAGGGCUGCGGAUUGUAAAGCACUUUAAGUUGGGAGGAAGGGCAGUAAGUUAAUACCUUGCUGUUUUGACGUUACCAACAGAAUAAGCACCGGCUAACUUCGU